GAAAAUAUUGUCUUUAUUAUGCAAAGUUAGGGUUUAAUUGUUUGUGUGUGAUUAUGUUUAAAAGGAGACCAGGUGAAAAAUAAACUUGGGCAUCUGUCAAAAGUCCAAGGAUGAGGAAAGCAUCACCAGACCCGACAGGAUCAUGUAUCUGCAAAAGGAUUCAGCAAAUCAGCAGCACACUUCAGCUUUUGUUGUUCAGCUUUAACCUGGAAUAAUAUUCACAUUUAUCAUUUAGCAUGCGUAUUAUAACAAGUGCCUUGGUUUCUGGUUCUGGAUUAGUGAAGAGCUUGUGGAAGAGAUGUGUGGUCAUCUGUUUCCUGAAGAUAGAGAUGCUCUCAUCAGAUCAGAUGAAGGCUUCUGAGGAACCGCUAGGUGGCGCUCAUUCAUUGUUAAACUUUCUCUAUACAUUUAUUCAGUUCAACAAUAACCUACUUUUACCAUUCAGUUAUCUCGAUAAAUUCAUAGAACAAAUACUUUGUGACAAUAAGCAGGAAUUUCACACUCAAUCCAUCAGUAAGCUUGAGUUUACACAGAUCUAAAGUGUAUCAAACCUUUAAAACAAAAUUACAUGAGUUCUCAGGACAGUCAUUAUUUAAUUUAUGAAAUCUAUUAAUGGACCGGUUCCAUGUGAAGAAGAUCUGCACUACUCUUAUUGUACUUGACUUGUCAUGCACAUCAUCAAUGUACUGUAUUUGCACAUUAUAAUGUGAAAAGUGAAAAAUUACUAAUAUGCAUUGUUUUGCUUCAA
This is a long non-coding RNA of Carassius gibelio (silver crucian carp), 748 nucleotides long. RefSeq lists it as uncharacterized. Lineage: Eukaryota; Metazoa; Chordata; Actinopteri; Cypriniformes; Cyprinidae. The transcript has 2 exons. The record is from RefSeq and is a predicted model, not a curated record.